UACGUAGGGUGCGAGCGUUGUCCGGAAUUAUUGGGCGUAAAGGGCUCGUAGGCGGUUUGUCGCGUCGGGAGUGAAAACCUUGGGCUUAACUCAGGGCUUGCUUUCGAUACGGGCAGACUAGAGGUAUGCAGGGGAGAACGGAAUUCCCGGUGUAGCGGUGAAAUGCGCAGAUAUCAGGAGGAACACCGAUGGCGAAGGCAGGUCUCUGGGCCACUACUGACGCUGAGAAGCGAAAGCAUGGGGAGCGAACAGG
Molecule: ribosomal RNA, 253 nt
Filed under: uncultured bacterium
Lineage: Bacteria
Description: partial 16S ribosomal RNA
Rfam family: Bacterial small subunit ribosomal RNA
Source: RNAcentral